CUUACACAUAGUUUUUUUUAUGUUUCAGUUUCUGACAGGAUUAAAUAAGAUGCCACGGGUUAAUUGGGGGAGAUCUGAAGGUGGCAUUGGAUUUUCUGAUUCCAGGAAAGAGUCGUGGCUUCUUCUAUUUCACAGGCAGCGCAGGAGAGGCAAGGAGGAAGAUGGAGGAGCAUGGCGGCGCUCGGGAGACAGCUCUGUUUCACUUCAAAGAUGCUGCACAGCCUGGCUUGCUCCAAACUGCCCCACCAAAGAAAAGUUCAGACCUCUAGCAUGCAAAAGCUGCCGUAGCGCUCCAGCUGUGAAGCUCUGUCUUGGGAACCUCCGCCCGCUGCAGACGAGGAUUUACAUUUCUUUGAUGAUCUACCCACAUCCACCACCGUCCUGCCUUUUAGGCUGCUGUGAGUGCGGGGGGGGGGCUCCUAGACAUCAGUGCUGCAAAGAAGGGAACCCUGGGAACCAUUUUAGGAGGAAGUUGAUGC
Molecule: long non-coding RNA, 479 nt
Filed under: Oryzias javanicus (javanese ricefish)
Lineage: Eukaryota; Metazoa; Chordata; Actinopteri; Beloniformes; Adrianichthyidae
Description: lncRNA (ENSOJAG00000008042.1)
Source: RNAcentral